AGGAAAUUGCUUGUACCAAUAACGGUACAAAGUAUUCCAUAAAAGUCUCACCCUAACAGCAGCAUUAAGACAACUGGAUAUUUGCCAGCCUAAAUAAGUAAAUAUGACAUAUCUCCAGCUGAUAUAAAUCAAGUUCAAUAUACACUGUGAGAUUAUAUAGAUGUAAGUAUUAACAAUCCUUCCUUCUUUUAACAUUUAAAAUAUGCCAUAUGGAAU
Pelobates cultripes (western spadefoot toad) is the source of this 216-nucleotide non-coding RNA. The record is from the annotation of a GenBank genome assembly. NCBI's taxonomy places the organism in Eukaryota, Metazoa, Chordata, Amphibia, Anura, Pelobatidae.